RNAcentral lists this ribosomal RNA (462 nucleotides) under Triticum aestivum (bread wheat). Its description in RNAcentral is "partial small subunit ribosomal RNA". Lineage: Eukaryota; Viridiplantae; Streptophyta; Magnoliopsida; Poales; Poaceae. The record is from RNAcentral.
AUGCGGCCCCGGUUUCUGCCCCGUCCGACUUCAAUCCCCACCUCAUUCCUCUCCUCAUGUCUCGCCACCGGCGCCGCGCCGCCGCCGCCUCGUCUCCUCCUCCUCGUCCGCCUCAACGCGCCUCGACCUACUUCUUCCACCGCAUGCUCGUACGGCUGCGGCAGUAAGGGACGACGUUGUGUUUGCACGGUCUCUCAAAUCGCUGGAUCUUGGGGUGCGGAGCCCUUUUUCGCCAUCCAUGGAAGUUUCUUCGCCAGAAACCUGCGGUUCAGGGCGACGGCGAUGACGGCGGCUGCUGCCGUGCGAACCGCCGCGCCUAAUUCUGCCGAAAGUGGGGAGCAGAGCAGCAUUUCCAGCUGUGAGAUUGCAGAUCAUUUUGUGGUGGAUCUUGUCACAGAUGGCCAUGACAUGCCAGGGCAGUUCCAAGAGGUGGACAGUUCAUUACCUGAACUAGGUGGAUGA